RNAcentral lists this ribosomal RNA (253 nucleotides) under uncultured bacterium. RNAcentral describes it as "partial 16S ribosomal RNA". It matches the Rfam family "Bacterial small subunit ribosomal RNA", at positions 524 to 776 of the family's 1533-position model. The record is from RNAcentral.
UACGUAGGGGGCGAGCGUUGUUCGGAAUUACUGGGCGUAAAGGGCUCGUAGGCGGCCGGCUAAGUCCGACGUGAAAUCCCCAGGCUUAACCUGGGAACUGCGUCGGAUACUGGCGGGCUUGAAUCCGGGAGAGGGAGGCGGAAUUCCAGGUGUAGCGGUGAAGUGCGUAGAUAUCGGGAGGAACACCGGUGGCGAAGGCGGCAUCCUGGACCGGCAUUGACGCUGAAUAGCGAAAGCCAGGGGAGCAAACGGG